CUGCGCCUUUGUGUCCAUGCUCCG
RNAcentral lists this non-coding RNA (24 nucleotides) under Arabidopsis thaliana (thale cress). Lineage: Eukaryota; Viridiplantae; Streptophyta; Magnoliopsida; Brassicales; Brassicaceae. The record is from RNAcentral.